RNAcentral lists this ribosomal RNA (613 nucleotides) under uncultured bacterium. RNAcentral describes it as "bacterial SSU rRNA". The stretch from base 1 to 532 matches the Rfam family "Bacterial small subunit ribosomal RNA", at positions 338 to 873 of the family's 1533-position model. The record is from RNAcentral.
CCUACGGGAGGCAGCAGUAAGGAAUAUUGGACAAUGGACGCAAGUCUGAUCCAGCCAUGCCGCGUGAAGGAUUAAGGCCCUCUGGGUUGUAAACUUCUUUUAUAGGGGACGAAAAAAGGGCUUUCUAGCUCGACUGACGGUACCCUAUGAAUAAGCACCGGCUAACUCCGUGCCAGCAGCCGCGGUAAUACGGAGGGUGCAAGCGUUAUCCGGAUUCACUGGGUUUAAAGGGUGCGUAGGCGGGCAGUUAAGUCAGUGGUGAAAUCUUCGAGCUCAACUCGGAAACUGCCAUUGAUACUAUCUGUCUUGAAUACUGUGGAGGUGAGCGGAAUAUGUCAUGUAGCGGUGAAAUGCUUAGAUAUGACAUAGAACACCGAUUGCGAAGGCAGCUCGCUACACAAAUAUUGACGCUGAGGCACGAAAGCGUGGGGAUCAAACAGGAUUAGAUACCCUGUAGUCCACGCCCUAAACUAUGAUUACUCGACAUAUGCGAUACACUGUAUGUGUGUGAGAGAAGAGAUAAGUAAGUACUUACGUUAGGUAGUUACGACGACGAGUUAGACGACGAANAGAGUUAGACGACGNGAGAGNGCGAGGACGACGACGAGGAGAG